UACCAGGCUAUGUCCAGGCUCAGCAAGAAAGAAUGCCAUGAUGAAUUUAAUGAUGUCUGCUAUGGAUAGAUGAUAAAGGAAUCAAGCCAUGAAUAACGUAUUUGCUGAUGUAAUCUUUUUCCUCAAAUCCAUCAAUAUAAAUUAAUCUGCCCUCUUUAUUUGUAUCUACUGAAAUCCUACUCAUCAUCCAAGACUAGAUCAUAGAGCUCAUCCUGCUCUGAUUUAACCCUAUUUAUUAUUUGGCUAUUUAAUAUUGGUAUUAGUUUAUAAAUGUUAAUAGUAAAUGGAACUUAUUUUUGAUACUUGAAGUGGCUUGAAGAAUGGUGGUAUCAUUAACACAUAGUAUGACUCAUUUUAAGGAACACAUGAAUGGCUAAUUAUAGAAGGUAUCUGGUCCUCUGGCUAUCAGAAAAGAGAUCUAAGAGUUCUCUAAAUGUAGUAUUAAUGAACUCUUUCGGCAAAAAAAAAAAAAAAAAAAAACCAAUUUGCUUAAACCAAAGAAAAGAGCAUUAAGGCUGGUCAUUACACCUCAACAGUAACAGGAACAUGAGAUCAUUUGAUAUGAUUCUGCAUGCAGUACUGCUCUAUCACAUGACACAUUGUAUUAUAGUUGGCCGUAUGCAGCCCCAGAUUCCCUUUUCUCUGCAGAUCAGUGACUCUUUUUGGAAAGAGGUUCAUGCUCUAUCAUACAAUAAUAUUAAGAAGAUUACCAACAAUCUAAAAUGCUUCCUUCAACUGAGGUUUUGAGAAAUCACAGAGAGGCAACAACAUUUUUCUUGACUUUACUGUAUAUACAAUGGAGGCUCAUUAUAAUAAAAACACAAUUUCACCCACUCAAAUAUAAACUCCAAGGGAGCAAGGACAUUGUCUAGUGUUUUCAUUACUGUAUCUCCAGUGCCUGACUCAGAGUAGGUAAUCUAUAUAUAUUUUACUACUGAACAGUUACUACUUAAUCAAUAUUAGAUGAAGAUAAUAUAAUACACAGAACAAAAGUUUAAUAUUUCUAUUCUACAACCUGUCUUUUGAAAGAGGCAGUCAUCUUUAUUCCAGAUUCUUCCUUUCCUACUGUGUCUUUUGUGCAGUGAGAACAAAAUUAAGCAUGCGAUCAAAAUGGAUCAUAGACAUAAAAGACCUAAAUGUAAAAGCUGAAAUCAUAAAACUUUUAGAUAUAGGAGAAAAUGUAGGAAAAAAAUCUUUGUGACCUGGUGUAAGGGAAGAUUUCUUAUGCAGGAUACAAAAAACACUAGCCAUACAAGAAAAAAGCAAAACAUUAGACUUCACCAAAAUUUAAAACUUCUGCUCCUCAAAAGACACUAUAAAGAAAAUAAAAAGGCAAGCCACCAAUUAGGGGAAAAUAUUUUUAAUUCAUAUACUCACAAAGGACUUGUAUCCAGAAUAUAUAAAGAACUCUUAAAACUCAGUAACAAGAAGCCAAACAUUCCAGUUUUUUAAAUGGGCAAAUACUUUGAAUAGAUUUCACCAAAUAUGAGAUACUGGUGACAAGAAAGCACAUAAAAAGAUGCUCAAUGUCAUUAAACAUUAGGAAAAUGCAAAUUAAAACCACAAUGAGGCAGCACUACACACCUACUAGAUUUUUUUUUUUUUUUUUUUUUUUUAAGAAACUGACAAUACUAAGUGCUGACAAGGAUGCAAAGCAACUGGAACUCUCAUAUAAUGCUGGUAAGUGGAAAAUGGUACAGACUCUUUGGAAAACAGUAUGGCACUUCUCUUUUUUAAAAAUUUAUCUUAUUUUAUGAAUAAAUCAGUAACUUUUUUUUUUUUUUUUGAGACAGGGUCAUGCUUUGUUACCCAGGCUGGAGUGCAGAAGCAAGAUCAUGGCUCACUGCAACCUCCGCCUCCUACACUCAGAUGAUCCUACCACCUCAGCUUCCCGAGUAGCUGGGACUA
This 1908-nucleotide long non-coding RNA is filed under the name Homo sapiens (human). Its description in RNAcentral is "HSALNT0148527". Lineage: Eukaryota; Metazoa; Chordata; Mammalia; Primates; Hominidae. The record is from RNAcentral.